RNAcentral lists this unclassified non-coding RNA (705 nucleotides) under Hevea brasiliensis (rubber tree). The record is from RNAcentral. Lineage: Eukaryota; Viridiplantae; Streptophyta; Magnoliopsida; Malpighiales; Euphorbiaceae.
GGGAAGGAAAAAAGAAACUGAAAAUACAAAACAGAUUUGUUUUCUCAAAGGCAAACCAUCAAUUCUACUGGGCAAUUAAAAAAUCAGAGAUUUGGUUGAAUUAUCAUAUGUUUCGUAUAGCAUUAACUAUAAUCUCCCCUAGAAGAUAAACCUUGAAGAAGAAUAUUAAAAAACUUGCUCAUUAAAUAAUGAGCUAUAGACUGCUCCCCAGCUAUUCCUUUUUGUCUUGUUGAACUGUGACCUUUAUUUCUUGAUCCUAUGUAGCUGUCCCAUCUGACAGGCAGUUCCAUCUUUACUGACACAGAUUCACCAAUUCAACGAUUUUAUUGUAAUAAAUCACUGUCUGCACCUACUGGAUAUAUGUUUCAAAAAUAGCUCAUCAAGCCCCAUACUAAUUUUCCCAGCAAGUUUACUAGCAUAGUGGAAUCUUGGGUUUGGCCAAGCCUUAUGGCGGACAACUAAACAUUGCUAAGUAGCUUCAUUUCCUGCAUUUUCUUUAGGCCUAAUGAUACAAAACCAAGUGCAUUCCUAGUGCGCGGAAGGACAAAGUCCAGGACAGACGGAGGGAGUCUCUUAUAAGAAACACUGAUGAGCAUCAAUUGUGUACAACCCCCAUAAGCUGUUACAUCUUUGCCAUUGCAAUAUAUUGUAGUCACCUAUCCUUUUCACUUUAAGCAUCACCAGGGACUUUAGCCAACCCCUCUC